RNAcentral lists this ribosomal RNA (467 nucleotides) under uncultured bacterium. RNAcentral describes it as "partial 16S ribosomal RNA". It matches the Rfam family "Bacterial small subunit ribosomal RNA", at positions 29 to 507 of the family's 1533-position model. The record is from RNAcentral.
ACGAACGCUGGCGGCGUGCUUAACCCCUGCAAGUCGCACGGAAAGGCCCUGCUUUUGUGGGGUGCUCGAGUGGCGAACGGGUGAGUAACACGUGAGUAACCUGCCCUUGACUUUGGGAUAACUUCAGGAAACUGGGGCUAAUACCGGAUAGGAGCUCCUGCUGCAUGGUGGGGGUUGGAAAGUUUCGGCGGUUGGGGAUGGACUCGCGGCUUAUCAGCUUGUUGGUGGGGUAGUGGCUUACCAAGGCUUUGACGGGUAGCCGGCCUGAGAGGGUGACCGGCGACAUUGGGACUGAGAUACGGCCCAGACUCCUACGUGAGGCAGCAGUGGGGAAUAUUGCACAAUGGGCGGAAGCCUGAUGCAGCAACGCCGCGUGCGGGAUGACGGCCUUCGGGUUGUAAACCGCUUUCGCCUGUGACGAAGCGUGAGUGACGGUAAUGGGUAAAGAAGCACCGGCUAACUACGUG